ACUGGCUUGUCGCUUGUUGCCUUUUGGUAAUAAGAGGAAAGUCCGGGCAGCAUAGAGCAUCAUACUUCUUAACUGGAAGGCUCCGUGAAUUCGGAGACAGAUAGUGCCGCAGAAAAUAUACCUCCUUCGGGGAAGGGUGAAAAGGUGCCCACCUUUACUGGUGGCUUGGCGGCGGAAACGCCAACAAGGGUAAGAGCGCACCGCAUUAAUGGCGACAUUGAUGGCAGGGUAAACCUUAUGAGCUGAAAUAUCAUGUAAGCUAACAUUUGAAGCCGGCUCGGCUGAGUUAGUGGGUAGAUAGAUUGAUCCCGAGAGUGAUUUCGGGGCUAGAUAAAUGACAGGCAUACUGACUGAAAGGUCAGUAGACAGAACCCGGCUUAUAAGUUUGCUUU
This 392-nucleotide RNase P RNA is filed under the name marine eukaryotic metagenome. Its description in RNAcentral is "Bacterial RNase P class A". It matches the Rfam family "Bacterial RNase P class A". Rfam says of the family: Ribonuclease P (RNase P) is a ubiquitous endoribonuclease, found in archaea, bacteria and eukarya as well as chloroplasts and mitochondria. Its best characterised activity is the generation of mature 5'-ends of tRNAs by cleaving the 5'-leader elements of precursor-tRNAs. The record is from RNAcentral.